AGGAUUUUUGGUACGAGGCUAAGGUCAUACUGAACUUCAUUCUGGGCAUCUGACUUCCCAAAUUCUUUUGAUCCUUGCCUAUUCUUACGGGCCUAAGCACAUUCUUCCCUUUAUUCUUCCUCUCUUUUUUUUUCUGUUUCUCUUUCCUUUUCCUUUUAUUUCUUUUUCUCUUUCUGGACUUUUCUCUGUUUUGGGAUUUAGAUUUCCCAUUUUGCAUUUUCUUUGCACUAGUCCUGCCCAUAGGAUCCAUUACACCAUUCUCCCCUUCUUUUUUUGUUUUGCCCUUAAGUUCAGUUUUGACCGGGAUGGCUCAAAUUUAGGCAAAAUUAUAAGUGAAUUCAAAAGAAUUAUUAAGCUCAAAAUGGUUGCAAGUGAUAGAUGUAGGGUUGGUCAGUUUGGCUUAGUGGGCUUAAAGAAAGAAAAUGCCUAAAUCAUUCAAUACACCUAGACUGUGUACACAGGGUUCGACCAAGAAUCAAGGCAAGUUCUAGCAUUCCCCUUAAUCAAGAUGUCAAAAUUCACACAAUGAAAGAAAGAAUUGUUUUGGCAUAAAGUAACAAUUUAAAAGCUCAAAUCCUCACAAGGUAUGCCCAAUUCCCUAUCCAUCGUCC
This 611-nucleotide long non-coding RNA is filed under the name Salvia miltiorrhiza (redroot sage). RNAcentral describes it as "long non-coding RNA (SMIL_LNC014083)". The record is from RNAcentral. Lineage: Eukaryota; Viridiplantae; Streptophyta; Magnoliopsida; Lamiales; Lamiaceae.